This 460-nucleotide ribosomal RNA is filed under the name uncultured bacterium. RNAcentral's name for it is "partial 16S ribosomal RNA". It matches the Rfam family "Bacterial small subunit ribosomal RNA", at positions 338 to 795 of the family's 1533-position model. The record is from RNAcentral.
CCUACGGGUGGCAGCAGUGAGGAAUAUUGGUCAAUGGCCGAGAGGCUGAACCAGCCAAGUCGCGUGAGGGAAGAAUGUCCUAUGGAUUGUAAACCUCUUUUGUCAGGGAGCAAAGUCACCCACGUGUGGGUGUUGGAGAGUACCUGAAGAAAAAGCCCCGGCUAACUACGUGCCAGCAGCCGCGGUAAUACGUAGGGGGCAAGCGUUAUCCGGAUUUACUGGGUGUAAAGGGGGCGCAGACGGCAAUGCAAGCCAGGAGUGAAAGCCCGGGGCCCAACCCCGGGACUGCUCUUGGAACUGGAUGGCUGGAGUACAGGAGGGGCAGGCGGAAUUCCUAGUGUAGCGGUGAAAUGCGUAGAUAUUAGGAGGAACACCGGUGGCGAAGGCGGCCUGCUGGACUGUGACUGACGUUGAGGCCCGAAGGCGUGGGGAGCAAACAGGAUUAGAUACCCUGGUAGUC